Molecule: ribosomal RNA, 606 nt
Filed under: uncultured bacterium
Lineage: Bacteria
Description: bacterial SSU rRNA
Rfam family: Bacterial small subunit ribosomal RNA
Source: RNAcentral
CAAGCGGUGGAGCAUGUGGUUUAAUUCGAUGCAACGCGAAGAACCUUACCUACUCUUGACAUCCAGCGAACUUAGCAGAGAUGCUUUGGUGCCUUCGGGAACGCUGAGACAGGUGCUGCAUGGCUGUCGUCAGCUCGUGUUGUGAAAUGUUGGGUUAAGUCCCGCAACGAGCGCAACCCUUAUCCUUUGUUGCCAGCGAUUCGGUCGGGAACUCAAAGGAGACUGCCGGUGAUAAAUCGGAGGAAGGUGGGGAUGACGUCAAGUCAUCAUGGCCCUUACGAGUAGGGCUACACACGUGCUACAAUGGCGCAUACAAAGAGAAGCGACCUCGCGAGAGCAAGCGGACCUCACAAAGUGCGUCGUAGUCCGGAUCGGAGUCUGCAACUCGACUCCGUGAAGUCGGAAUCGCUAGUAAUCGUGGAUCAGAAUGCCACGGUGAAUACGUUCCCGGGCCUUGUACACACCGCCCGUCACACCAUGGGAGUGGGUUGCAAAAGAAGUAGGUAGCUUAACCUUCGGGAGGGCGCUUACCACUUUGUGAUUCAUGACUGGGGUGAAGUCGUAACAAGGUAACCGUAGGGGAACCUGCGGCUGGAUCACCUCCUU